Molecule: ribosomal RNA, 497 nt
Filed under: uncultured bacterium
Lineage: Bacteria
Description: partial 16S ribosomal RNA
Rfam family: Bacterial small subunit ribosomal RNA
Source: RNAcentral
GAUGAACGCUGGCGGCGUGCCUAAUACAUGCAAGUCGAGCGAACGGACGAGAAGCUUGCUUUUCUGAUGUUAGCGGCGGACGGGUGAGUAAAACGUGGAUAACCUACCUAUAAGACUGGGAUAACUUCGGGAAACCGGAGCUAAUACCGGAUAAUAUUUUGAACCGCAUGGUUCAAAAGUGAAAGACGGUCUUGCUGUCACUUAUAGAUGGAUCCGCGCUGCAUUAGCUAGUUGGUAAGGUAACGGCUUACCAAGGCAACGAUGCAUAGCCGACCUGGGAGAGUGAUCGGCCACACUGGAACUGGGACACGGUCCAGACUCCUACGGGAGGAAGCAGUAGGGAAUCUUCCGCAAUGGUCGAAAGCCUGACGGAGCAACGCCGCGUGAGUGAUGAAGGUCUUCGGAUCGUAAGACUCUGUUAUUAGGGAAGAACAUAUGUGUGAGUAAAUGUGCACAUCUUGACGGUACCUGAUCAGAAAGCCACGGCUAACUACGUG